GACAGAGGUUGCAAACGUUGUUCGGAAUUACUGGGCAUAAAGCGCACGUAGGUGGCUCAUUUAGUCGUGUGUGAAAUGCCCCGGCUCAACCGGGGAAUUGCGCACGAUACUGGUGGGCUUGAGGUCGGGAGGGGUGAGUGGAACUCCUGGUGGAGCGGUGAAAUGCGUAGAUAUCAGGAGGAACACCGGUGGCGAAAGCGACUCACUGGCCCGAAUCUGACACUGAGGUGCGAAAGCUAGGGUAGCAAACGGG
Molecule: ribosomal RNA, 253 nt
Filed under: uncultured bacterium
Lineage: Bacteria
Description: partial 16S ribosomal RNA
Rfam family: Bacterial small subunit ribosomal RNA
Source: RNAcentral